GAUGAACGCUAGCGGCAGGCUUAACACAUGCAAGUCGAGGGGUAUAGGGAGCUUGCUUCCUAGAGACCGGCGCACGGGUGCGUAACGCGUAUGCAAUCUACCUUUUGCAGAGGGAUAGCCCAGAGAAAUUUGGAUUAAUACCUCAUAGUAUGUGAGAAUGGCAUCAUUUUCACAUUAAAGUCACAACGGCAAAAGAUGAGCAUGCGUCCCAUUAGCUUGUUGGUAAGGUAACGGCUUACCAAGGCAACGAUGGGUAGGGGUCCUGAGAGGGAGAUCUCCCACACUGGUACUGAGACACGGACCAGACUCCUACGGGAGGCAGCAGUGAGGAAUAUUGGACAAUGGGCGCAAGCCUGAUCCAGCCAUGCCGCGUGCAGGAAGAAGGUCCUAUGGAUUGUAAACUGCUUUUAUACAGGAAGAACACCUCUACGUGUAGAGACUUGACGGUACUGUAUGAAUAAGGACCGGCUAACUCCGUG
This 479-nucleotide ribosomal RNA is filed under the name uncultured bacterium. RNAcentral describes it as "bacterial SSU rRNA". It matches the Rfam family "Bacterial small subunit ribosomal RNA", at positions 28 to 507 of the family's 1533-position model. The record is from RNAcentral.